UAGGGAAUCUUCGGCAAUGGGGGGAACCCUGACCGAGCAACGCCGCGUGAGUGAAGAAGGUUUUCGGAUCGUAAAGCUCUGUUGUUAAGGAAGAACGAGUGUGAGAAUGGAAAGUUCAUGCUGUGACGGUACUUAACCAGAAAGGGACGGCUAACUACGUGCCAGCAGCCGCGGUAAUACGUAGGUCCCGAGCGUUGUCCGGAUUUAUUGGGCGUAAAGCGAGCGCAGGCGGUUAGAGAAGUCUGAAGUGAAAGGCAGUGGCUCAACCAUUGUAGGCUUUGGAAACUGUGUAACUUGAGUGCAGAAGGGGAGAGUGGAAUUCCAUGUGUAACGGUGAAAUGCGUAGAUAUAUGGAGGAACACCGGUGGCGAAAGCGGCUCUCUGGUCUGUAACUGACGCUGAGGCUCGAAAGCGUGGGGAGCGAACAGG
This 429-nucleotide ribosomal RNA is filed under the name Bacteroidota bacterium. Its description in RNAcentral is "Bacteroidetes bacterium partial 16S ribosomal RNA". It matches the Rfam family "Bacterial small subunit ribosomal RNA", at positions 355 to 776 of the family's 1533-position model. Lineage: Bacteria; Pseudomonadati; Bacteroidota. The record is from RNAcentral.